This 253-nucleotide ribosomal RNA is filed under the name uncultured bacterium. Its description in RNAcentral is "partial 16S ribosomal RNA". It matches the Rfam family "Bacterial small subunit ribosomal RNA", at positions 524 to 776 of the family's 1533-position model. The record is from RNAcentral.
UACGUAGGCAGCGAGCGUUGUUCGGAAUUACUGGGCGUAAAGAGUGUGUAGGCGGUGUUCCCAGUCUGUUGUGAAAUCUCCCGGCUUAACUGGGAGGGUGCAGCGGAAACUACAGGGCUAGAGUCCUGGAGAGGAAGGUGGAAUGCUUGGUGUAGAGGUGAAAUUCGUAGAUAUCAAGCGGAACACCGGUGGCGAAGGCGGCCUUCUGGACAGUGACUGACGCUGAGACGCGAAAGCGUGGGGAGCAAACAGG